This 302-nucleotide ribosomal RNA is filed under the name uncultured bacterium. RNAcentral describes it as "partial 16S ribosomal RNA". It matches the Rfam family "Bacterial small subunit ribosomal RNA", at positions 508 to 807 of the family's 1533-position model. The record is from RNAcentral.
GCAGCAGCCACGGUAAUACGGAGGGUGCAAGCGUUAAUCGGAAUUACUGGGCGUAAAGCGCACGCAGGCGGUCUGACAAGUCAGAUGUGAAAUCCCCGGGCUUAACCUGGGAACUGCAUUUGAAACUGUCAGGCUGGAGUCUUGUAGAGGGGGGUGGAAUUCCAGGUGUAGCGGUGAAAUGCGUAGAGAUCUGGAGGAAUACCGGUGGCGAAGGCGGCCCCCUGGACAAAGACUGACGCUCAGGUGCGAAAGCGUGGGGAGCAAACAGGAUUAGAUACCCCAGUAGUCCCUGUCUCUUAUAC